UGAAGACAGAGAUGGUUGAUGGGCUACCGCACCCACCGGUGCUGUUGCAGCUAGCAUUUGGUUGUUUGGGUCCUGCGGCUGCUCCUAUACUGCUACUUAGUGCUUGCGCCCUGAUUGUCUCCUGCUUGCUUGCAACUUUGCAAGUCUCCUAGAACUCAUAAUGUUAUGUUAUGCUAUGAUGCGAGUACUAUAUGUAGUCGUGGCGCUCUUGUUAAUUAGAGCUAUAUGGUGAUGCUAGUAUGUUAGAUGUCAUGUGUUUUAAUGGAACACCUGCAUGGUCUUGGAUAUUUUUUUUGGUGCGUACAAGAUGCUAAUUGAUCUAGCUCUUCCAAGCAAAAUCUGGAAAAGCAAUUCUUGGUACAGUUUUGAGUAUGAAAUUCAGUGGUUUCGGUUUUCAAUUCGGCCAAAGGACCGAAAUUCCCAUUUGAAUUUGACUAAGCUCCCAUUUUGAUAAUUCAGAAAAUAAUCUGACUCUAUAUACUACCGAGAUUGCUCAAAUCUUGACCGAAGACAAUUAUUUAGUAUGUACUGAAAUUAAUGAAAUUUCAUUGAAAUUACCAAAGUGGAAGUGUGGACUAUUCUGUUUUUACCAGUAUAUACUUCCUUCAUCUGAAAAUACUUGUCGAAGAAAUGGAUAAAAAUAGAUGUAUCUAGAACUAAAAUAUGUUAGGUACAUUCAUUUUUUCAACAAAUUUUUUAACAGAGGGACUAGAUAGUAAGUUGAUGAAGCAUAAUUGUGUUGGCUUUGUUCAUGCAUUUGGCAACACCAGAAAGGUACUCAGCGGUAUCCAUUCUUGUGUCGCGGUGUGGAUAGUUCUGUGAGGCGGCACUGUUUUGGACAGGGAUGAGCGAUGACAUGCGGAACCUUUCCAAACACCUAUUUUUAAAAGUCCUUCUAAAUGUUAAAGGUUAGUACUUGUUUUUUUAGGAAUAUCGCAUUUUUUAUCAAGGAUAAUUAACACUAAGUGCCUCCGAGAUACAAUUCGGGGUUACAUGAAGAAUAGUCACUGGAGGACUCAGAUGAUCUAGCUAGAAUAUGUGCCGCGGCAUUCGACAAACGAUUUACAUGGCUAAAGCUAACAGACGAGAAGAACGACGCCAACUCAUUGAUAUCAGCAGUGAUGAGCCCCACCGGCAAGGGAUCAAUCGUUGAAGCAUUGAUUUUCUUGAUAAGGGAUGGACAGCCGGAAAACGACCCUUGAAAAGCAUUCCCGGCGGGUGAGAGCCACCUCACGGGGUGGUAACCUCGUCAAUGUGCUCGCAGCAAGCCAACAGGCAAUCUCCGAUGUGGUUCUUGAUUACCGCACCAACUCCCAUCUGCCGAGAAUCCUUGAAGAGUGCAACACCCACGUUAACUGUCACUGCAUCUAUUGGUGACAGAAACCAUUUAACAUGAGAUACCGGGUAUCACGACUUGAAGCAAUUGCAGUCCUACCAUAGUUAUGCACAAUGAAGUCAACAUGAGCCAAAGCUUUCUCAACCACUUUGUAGGGAUGCAUCGUAACAUCAUUGUUUCUUGCAUCAUUCUAGAUCUCCCAAAUGUGCCAAAUUGUUACCACCGAAGCCGUGGCCUCAAGAGAGGUCGCUCACCGAAGGAAACAAAUAUCCACUAUUAGGUAUGAACAAGACCUUUUUAACAUAGAUGGAGGCCUAAUUUCUAUUUCACCACUCACCAUACCUCGCGUGUGAGAUGGCUAACGGGAAUAGAUGCUCAACCAACUCUUGUCUGCUAUAUAAAAACAUGCCCCAGCCUUGAAAAAUGUUAGCAACUGGCAGGGACGAAUCCAAGGGGGGACGAGGGGGGGCUAGACCCCCCCUGACAAACUUGUUUCACCUCAUUAGCGAUUAGGCAGGCUGGUAUUUAGGCAGUGUUUUGACUCGAUUUUCCUCAAUUCGCCCCCCCUGUCCGGCUGUCGCGCAUAACCACGUGAAACCCCCAGGGCCGGCCUAGCCCAUGUACACUACAUAGCAGAUCAAAACCAAGAAAAAAGAAAAGGCCCACCAUCGAAGAGAAAAGGGGCCAGGGUCCAUUGGUCGUGGGACUUGCGGCUGCAGCAGCACGUACACAACCGCUUUGAUUCUCUGCUGUUGCGAUCGUCACGAUUUUAGCGCCGCCAAUCUUCCUAACUGUCGUGCGAUCCAAUCUCCACCCACCGCUCGCCGUAGUAGAGCCUGCCGUCGCGGCCGGCAAAGCUGUCCGCCAAGGAGAGGAGCACGGCACCUGCACCUGCAUGAUCUUCAAUUUGUUCAAAUUUGUGUGGUUGUGCCAUACAGAAACUACAAACAUCAGAAAUAAAUUACAACAUAUUGGCUGCCCUUAUAUUUUUAUACUCGUGUAUAGAUAAGACGAGGAAGAGAAACUGAAAAAUGUUUGCCAAGAGCAUUUGCGUCCAACUGUCCAACCCUAUAGACCCCAAUCGAUCAUUCCUGUCAGCCAGUAAGGAGAUUAUGAAAAGCACCACCACCAUGAGCGACCACGGAGACGACGAUGCACGCCAUUCUCAAUAGUUAACCUUAGCUUCAAAUCUCUGUUUUUUGCUGGUUAAUAUGAAGAUAAUUAAUUGAUUGACAUGAGAAUCAGAGUUGGUCAAUUCAACAUAGUACCGUCGGCCAAAUUAUGUAAUAUAACUAAUUUAGAUACUUUUUUGUCAAAGAUGAAUACUUUCAUAAUAAUUUUGUAGUCUUUAGCUGUUUACACUAACGAAAAUACGAGUCCGGGAUUAUGUUUCUUUGCACACUUUAAAGUUCUGAGUGAUCAUCCGAUGCCCAUCAGUCUAUAAGAGCUCUAGUCUGAAACUCGCCCCCCCUAUGUCAAAUUCCUGGCUCCGUCCCUGGCAACUGGAUGCCCGUCGACAGACAAUCAUGGGUCAGUUUCCAGAGAACGAUAUUCAUCUUCCCCGGAGCAUUGACCUUCUAAAGAGCUUGCCAGUUUUUCUCUUCAGCACCAAAGUCUGACUGCACACCAUGGUCAUUAGAAUUACGAGUAGCAUGAAAUUUCUCAGACUUGGCCAAGUUUUAUGCUGAUCCGACCGAGUAGGAUCCAAACAAUCAUGAGGCCAGGAAACAAAAUUAUCCACCUCAUGCACACUGAUUGGAAUGUGUUACACUACCUUGGCUAUCAUUCGAGGAAAAAAUGGGUGUGCUAGCGGGGUUUCGAACUCGAGAUCGAGGUUUCUCGUUCCUGGUUUCCCCACCGCACUACCAGUAGGACAAGGAAAGACUUGAGACAAAAUAUUUCUUUCUACAAUUACAUUCUUUCUUCAGGGAGCAAGACCUUUUGUGCUAUACGGUAUAUGUGACUUUUAGAAAAAACUUCAAUGAACUUUUUUUUCUUCAAAAUUGAUAAAUUUAUUCCAAAAUCCAUGAACUGUUUUCAAAUUUGUGUACCUUUCUCCAAAAUCAGAUGAACUUUUUUUAUUAUUUUGUGAACUUUUUCUUCAAAACUGAUGAACCUUUUUUCAAAUUGAUGAUUUUUUUCAAAUUUGAUGUACUUUUCAGAAAUUUGAUGAACUUUUUUGGAAAUUCGAUGAACUUUUUUUCACAACCGACACCGUUUCAAAUUUGAUGAACUUUUUUGGAAAUUCAUUGAACUUUUUCCAAAAUUGAUGAACUUUUUUUAAAUUCAAUGAAUGUAUUCUCACUACAAUGAAUGUUUUCAAUUUUUGUGAGCUUUUUUCCAAAUUCGAUGAACUUUUUCCCAAUUCUAUGAUUUUCUUUUCAAAAUCAAAAAAUGUUUUUCGAAUUUAUGAACUUCUUUUGAAAUUUAAGGAACUUUGUUUCAAAAUUGAUGACUUUUUAAAACUUAUGUUUUUUAUUUUUAUUUUUUUUUAAAAUGGUCAAGGGUUAAUUGUUGAACAGAAGAUUGAGCUUGCAAAAGAAUAUGUAAACCCAUAAAACUGUUUUCAUUUCCUACCUAUCUAGACGCAUGCAACCACUAGUACCACUGGAGCUGCUAGUAGCAGCACGACGGCUACCAUGCAUGCAUGUGGGUGGCCAUACUGGCAGUGGCAGAGCUACAGUCAUUUCUCUGGGCGGGCCAAAUAGGUCAGGUUCAGAAGUGCCAUUAAAAUUUUACUCUUACGACCAAGAUUCAACACUAUUCUUGACAAAAAUCUAGUUGGGCAAGGCAGGCCAUGCCCUGGUUUGGCCCAGCCAUAGCUCGGCCACUAUAUACCAGGAUGGCCAUAGAAACACGACAAUUUAACCAAUCGUACAAGCCGAUGAAAAAACUGAUGAAACGGGAGCAACUAAGAUCUAUAUGGGCCGGCCCAAACGGAAGCCUUCAAGCGCCAUGUUCCAGUUCGGGAGCUAUAAGCGCUGGUUAGGAGGUCCCCCAGUGACCCCCUAUGGGCGCGUGAAGCGCUGAAUAGGGGAAUACCAUAUUUACCGGUUUUAGGAGCAUUCUAUGAUGUUUCCAGCCUGUUUUUUUUUCCGGUUUUGGGAACCUUCUAGUAGGUUCCCGAAGCUGGGUUUUUUAUUUUGCAGUUCUUUUUCUUUUUUGUUUUCCUAUUUCUCUUAUUUUUCGUCUUUCUUUUCUUUUUUCUUUUUCUUUUUAUUUUCUUGCACCUUUUAUUUUAUUUAAAAAUUAUUUUAAAUUCCAAAAAACGUUUCUUCAGAAAUUCCAAAAAUCUAGAAUUUCAAAUUUUGUUCGCUUCAAUAGAAAAAAUGUUUGGAGAUUCUAAAAAGUUUAAAAUUUCAAAUUUUGUUUGCUUUUUGAAUUAUCUCCUAAAAUUCAUAAAAAAUAGAAUUUCAAAUAAGGUCCGCAUUUUAAAUUUUAUUCACAAAAUAGAAAGUAUUCAGGAACUUCAAUACAAAUGUUCCUGUUUUUAAAUUCUAUUCACACAUUAAAGAAUGUUCACGAUUCAAAACUUGUUUGUAUUUAUAAAUUUUGUUCACAAAUUCAGAAAUGUUUGACAACUUUAAAAAAGUUCCUAUUAUGCAAAUUUGUUCACAACUUCAGCAAAUGCCACCAUUUGGGGAAAAAUAUCAACUUUAAAAAAAUGUCACGUUGAAAAUUUCGCAAAUUCAAAAAAUGAGUGUAGGAAUUUCAAAUAAAUUUUGUGUUUUUGUAAAAUUUGUUCGUAAUUUCUAAAGAUGUUCACCUUUUUAAGAACAACUCUUGUUUUUCAAAAAAGUUUGCUUUUUCAAAAAAAUGUUCGGAAUUUCGAAAAAUGUUCUCCUAUUCAAUUUUCUUCCUUUUUUAUAAAAAUAAUGAAUUUACCAAAUAAUGUUCGUGUUUACAAAAAAGAGUUUCAAAAUUUCAGAAAAAGAUCAAAUCUUCAGCGGCUUAUGGUAUCUUUUUAGAACUUUUCACAACAUUUCAGAAGAUUGUUCAGAAUUUCAUAAAAUGUUUGCAUUUUAUCUGUUUAUUCACAAAUUCACAAAAUGAUAGGGAAUUCCAAAAACGUUCUCACUUUGAAAAUAUGUUCACAAAUUUUAGAAAAAUGUUUUUUAAUAUUAGUUGGCAAAGUGAAAAUAUGUUCGAGGAAUUGGAAUAAAUGUUCUCAUUUCUAAAAUUUGUCAUAGAUUCGAAAAAAAUCUGUAAUUUCGAAAAAUGUUCCAGCUUCUCCAAUUUUGUUCACUUAUUCCAAAAGUGUUCAUGUUUUUUUAACUUAAAAAAAAUGGUGUUUAAAAGAAAUUUUUCGUAAUUCCAAAAAAUAUUCGUGUUUUGAAAAAAUUGUUCGUAAUGUCGAAAAAUAUUUAUGUUUUAAAAUUUUGUUCACAACUUCAGAAAAUAUUCAGGUACUUCAAAUCAUGUUCCAGCUUUUCCCAAAAAAAUCACAUAUUCAAAUCUAUAUGCUCCAAUACACGUACAGAAAAUAACAUGCAAGGGAAUGAUCGCACUAUGGAAAGUUCUUAACUACAAUCGCGAUGCAGCCAUUCAGUCCAAUGGUUAGCAGCGCUUGUUGAGGCUAGGGACGUCGUAGGUUUGAUUCCUUGUGGCGUUAUUUUGGGUUUUGCGAUGUUUUACCUCUGUAGACACACCUCGGGAUCCUCAUAGUGGGCUGGCCCAGUCGGACGCCUCCUGUGUGCGCCACGCUGGCUAUUCGCCGCAAAAUGCGGCACAUAGGGUCUCCCCUGAAUAGGAGGUAUCGUAAUAAAACAACUCAAAAGAAAAGAAAAUUACAACGUAUAAAUAAAAAAGAGCUAUUUUUGAAUUACAGGCCCAGGCCCAGCCAGCCUCUACGAGGGGAGAUGAAGAGGGAAGAGAGAAGCGAGAGAGGAGAGAGGCGGGGGGAGAAGCAGAGGGAAAAGAGAAGCGAGAGAAACGAGAGAAAUCGGUCUCCGCGUCCUACCGCAGCCGCUAUAACGAGCGGGAACUAGUGCCGGGCCCCAUACCCACUCCCCCGUCCAAAUCCAAUCGAAAGUUCAAUUCCAUCCUGAUCGCCGACUUUGUCUGGGCGUGAUGAGUUCCUCCGUCGUGGUCUCCGGCAAUGGCGACGAGGACGCCAGCGUGGGCGAGAACUCCGUUGUGGUCUCCGGCAAGGGCAAGGACGCCGUCAAGCCCUCAUGCACGGUGCAGUAUUCCUGUGUCAAGCGGGUUCGUGAGCGGCGCCUCCUUUCCUUCCUCGUCGACCAAGGCUUCCACGGCGCCUUCAGAGAGUACGUGUAUGCUUUUUAUCUUGAGAUCGACGCCCGCGUGCUUGUUUGGUUUACAUCGCUGGAUCGCUGCGAGCAGGCUGAAUCGCGAGACGGGGGUGCUGUUCAACGUAGAUCACGUCCGGCGGCUGGUGAGGCGGGGCCAAUGGGAGGACGCCCUCAUGUACCUCAACACCUACCUGCCGCCGUUCCUCAGUGAACGUCGGAGCUUCCGCGCCAGGAUCUUCAGCAACUUCCUCCUCAUGCACCACCGCUUCGCCAACGUGGUCGCCGGCAACAAGGACAUGCACCUGGACAAGCAGUACGCCAACGGCCGCAGCAGCUCCACCCCCGCCGAGCGCAGGUUCCGCUCCAUGAACUACUCCAUCCUCACCCCGGACUCGGGCCACCUCAGGGCCGCCAUCGACUGGGACAAGGUGAGGAGCCACGCGGCGUGUCUUAUCCCCGAGUUGGCUCACCGUACUCCGGAGCUGAAACGCCGGACGGUGCUGCCGUCCCGCUGCAUGAUGCCGCACGAUGUACUCCCCAUUGGGACCGGGUAUGAAAGAAAAAUUCAUCAUUCAGACUCGGGUACCUUGAUAACAUAGUCAGUGUCAAUUUGAUCUCACUUCGGCCCUCCUGUCUGUCUGUAACCAUUCACAGUUUGUUCCUGAGGCGUCGGGUGAAGAAACAAGGCCCCCAGCCGCCAAAAACAGACGCUAUCAUCACGGCCAUAAAACAGUAAUGUCUUGUUACCUCCAGGCGAAUUGAUUUAAGCUCUCCUCUGUUCUGCUCUUCCCAGUUUUUGACAACACAUUGACUAAUUCCUUGCCUUUUGCAGCCAACGGUAUUGCCGCCUCGUUAGGGAUUCAAGCAUUGGUAUAAUGUCCCCUUCAGAAAUAUAUGUUAUGAUUAAGCAAUGUAGCUCUUAGAUUCGAUAUAUGUUUGGCAGUCACUAACCAUGUCUUCCUCCAAUGAACCGGCCGGCAGGAUCGAGAGAUGAAGCGCUGGAACUGCUGGUCGAUUUCCUUGGUAAAACCACCUCUCCUCUUCAUGUGUCUUGCAUUUCCACUGAGAACACUGUUUACACUCCACCAAUUAUUUUGUUUCGCGAAAACGAACCACUUUUGGUUACUGUUCUGUCCUGUUCUGUUUUCACUCAUGAACUUGUGUGAUCUUCAGAUGAGACUUUACAAGCUGGCCUGCCUAGAGGGUGCACACUAAGCUAUGACUUUCAACCAAGUGGGAAGGAAGGUAAACUUCAGAAUAAUUCUGUUCAGCAAGUCUUCAGCUAUGAUCACUUACCAGUUACCACUGUCUCUCUCAAUGCACUCUCUGGGCUCUUAACUAGCUCUUUAAUCUGUUUCGAGUCCUUUUGGGCCAUAUCAGCACAUUAUUUCCUCGAGCUGCAUUUUACCUUUUAACUACAGCGUCAUUUUCAAACCCUGCAUAGAAUAUCCCCUUUUUUAUCGGCUGAUGACCUGCAAUAGUUCAGAUGUCUUGGACACCUGCUACGACAUCGGUGAUUUUUCGCUGCGGAAAUUUCCCCUGUGUCUUCCAUUCUAAUAACCUUUAAAACAUGAGUAUAUUAUAUAUAUUUAAUUAAAAAGUAAUAAAGGGCAAGUUUUGUAGAUUUUAUGAUAGUACAGUGUAAUGGUUUUUACUGAAACCUAUACCAAUGAAAAUGGCAGUAAAUUUAUAGGUCAAUUGGAUAGUAGUUUUGUAGACGAAGUCAGUUCCAAUAAGUGGCCCCUACUUUACCUUGCCCCUCUAAACCAAACAUAGGAUAGCACGCAUGUUGCCCUGUAUUUACAUGGUACGUUUCAGCCUGCUAUAUUUUGUGCAGGCAUAUCUUUGAGACUACAGGAUGCUAUGAUCGUGUAACUUUUGCUUAGAAAAAUCAGAGCGCUAAUAAUGCUCAAACUUCUAUUUAGCAAUAAGAACUCUUGGAUAUAUUUCUGACGAUUGAAAGCAUGCUAAAUUAAUGCUGGAUGCAUCUACUAAGAUGCUGCCUUUUUUUUACAGUUGAACUUGCUGCAGAUGCUUCUGAUGCUCCGUCUGGACAAACCAUGCUCGGCACACCCACAGAUAAUUUUAAAGCCCAUGCCACAUCAUUAGUGAAAAUUCCUGGUAAAUUAUAACUGCACUCUUUCUUGGGAUUGAUGUUUUCUUGCAAUUCGUCUGUGUUCGGUUACUUGCUGCAAUUGCUAACUGUCGACUUGUUGCAGGUGCUCCAAUCUGCCAGAUCAUUUCUGGUACCUUGAAAGUUCAUGCUAAAAACCCUGAGAUCUCAACACCGACAAAUGCAGGUAAUUAGUUGAACACCUUUGUUUAGUACGAGGACAUAUGCACCUUCUGGUAACUGUCAGCUUUGUUUGAUCCCUUCUCCGUUACUUGCUAGAGAAAUGUAUUCUGUAAUCAAGUGCCUAUGUUCACCAUACAUAAUGUGUUAUCUGCCUCGUUAUAAGUUCCUUAGUUCCUGUUUCAGAUGUAUUAAUUCAGUUGAGCUGUCCCACCUACUUUCUGCAGUCUUUUUAUCACUAGUUCCUACACAACUUUCUUUGUGUCUUCAUCGGUAGUUUUAGUCUUUCAGGACUGUUUGCAUCUGUGAGCGGCUAAGCUUACAUUCUGCAACUGUUGAUUUCUGUAUUGAUCUUGCAUUCUUGCUAAGAACUCAUUGAUUCGUCCGAAACUAAUGGAAACAAAUCAAGUUCAUACUCUUCUUGCAAAUGUGCACACACCUCUUUCUUCACCCAUGGUCCUUGAAAACUGUUAAAGAACAUAAGACGUUAAAUUUCAGUGAAAUUCUGUUAUGUGCAAUAAUACUUAAUCCAGUUGUUAAUGCUUGGACAGGUGCAAAGCGUUUAAUACAAGCAGGUUGUCAUACUCAUAAUUCAAUGGAUGGACUGCCAACCGUUGAGGAUGAUAUUUAUGCAAAAAGGCAACGAACGACUGGGACAUUUGGUGAAAAAAGUUCGGUAAGGCUCGGUUUUUGUUCUUGCUUAUACUGUUGUGCAUGAAUACCAUAGUAGAAUAGCUUGAAUGGACAAAUUGUGUACGAUGUCGUUAAUAGAGAAGACUGUAUCUUUUGUACAGAUCUUAGUAGGGUGAGCAUUAAAUGUACAACACCAGGUUUUAGUUGAUAAGAUGCAUUGGUUGCCUGUCUUGAAAAGAAUGCAAUUUUUUGUAUUGCGUGGUAGAAAUAGUGUUAUUUUUUUUUGCAUGGUAGAAUUAGUGAUUUUCAGCUUAUCGAGACAUACAUCGACUUUGAUUGAUAAUUAUGCCAAUUCCUACAAUGACUAGAGAUUUCUUCAGCAGUUCAUAACAAGUACCUACUGUUUCCGACAGUAGAGUAGUAGACUGGUGGGUGUCUCUGAUUGAUCUGUAACGGCUUUACAGUAGUGCUGACUGUUACGAAUUUGUAGUGUUUCCAACCAUAGCGCAUUGCAUUUUACAGCAUGAGGAAUGCACUUGAGAGUACCUUCGUUCUUGCUUGUGUUGCGUUAUAUGGAUCAUCCUGUGAGGUACCUAAUGUUUUAGACAAGGUUGGCUGAUGGUAUACUUGUUUCGAGUGCAGGUGAACUUCAGGCCGAAGCUGAGGCCCGUCUGCUCCAUGUGAAGACAGAGAUGAUUGAUGGGCAACGGCACCCACCGGUGAUGUUGCAGCUGGCAUUUCGUUGUUCCGUUCCUGUUGCUGCUCCUAUUUUACUACUUAGUGCUUGCGCCCUGAUUAUGUCACCUACUUGCUUGAGGCUUGCAAGUCUCCUAGAACUCAUAAUGUUAUGUUAUGCUAUAUAUGAUGCUACUAUGAAGUCGUGGCGUUCUUGUUAAUUAGAGCUAUAUAUAUGGUCUAUGCUAGCAAGUCAGAUUUAUGUCAUGUGUUCUAGUGGAACACCUGCAUGGUCUUGGAUUUUUUUUUGGUGC
Molecule: long non-coding RNA, 10503 nt
Filed under: Triticum aestivum (bread wheat)
Lineage: Eukaryota; Viridiplantae; Streptophyta; Magnoliopsida; Poales; Poaceae
Description: long non-coding RNA (TAES_LNC022955)
Source: RNAcentral